AUCUUUGCGCAGUGGCAGUAUUGUAGUCUAUGAGGUUUAUCCAAGACAUGAUUAUUGCUAGUUGAAAACUUUACCCAAUACCCUGCCUUGCUGACUUGAAACAGAGUUGGCAAUGGCAAUUUUGAUAGUCUCUCAGGAGA
Molecule: small nuclear RNA, 140 nt
Organism: Sphaeramia orbicularis (orbiculate cardinalfish)
Lineage: Eukaryota; Metazoa; Chordata; Actinopteri; Kurtiformes; Apogonidae
Gene: U4
Rfam family: U4 spliceosomal RNA
About the family: U4 small nuclear RNA (U4 snRNA) is a component of the major U2-dependent spliceosome. The structure of U4 snRNA from yeast and human has been reported.
Source: Ensembl